Seriola aureovittata is the source of this 3409-nucleotide long non-coding RNA. RefSeq lists it as uncharacterized. NCBI's taxonomy places the organism in Eukaryota, Metazoa, Chordata, Actinopteri, Carangiformes, Carangidae. The record is from RefSeq and is a predicted model, not a curated record. The transcript is spliced from 2 exons.
AUUUAAAAAACAAAAGAAGAAAUUAUUAAUAAUUGUUGCAUUUUCCAUAGGGUUUGCAAUUCCUGAGCCCUGCUAUUGUGUAUAAUGGCUCAGUGGUAUGGCUUCCUGGGAUAAAUAUAUGGAACGGUGCCAACACUAAUGUUAUCAUUACUUUUAUUUGUUUUUCUGUGAUGACAUGUCAAAGGUUUGUCAUGAAAAAAAGCUAUUUAAGUCUACAAAACAGGUUACACUGGGAUGAGAAUAAAAUCAUGAGGGGUUGUGGCAUUUUAAUUUGCAUGAUACAGGACCUGUCUCAUGCAUAUUAAUAGUCAAGCUAUUUGCAUUUUGCCUCUAAAGCAAAAUAAAGAUGCUUUUGCUAUAUCCACCUAUAGCUAUAUUCAGUGGGCUACAUAUUUUGUUAAAUUUAACAAAUCAUCCAGCAUCUCUAUGUCUGAUAAACAUAUAUGAAACUCAAACUGAACUCAAACUAUGAAAAUAUUAACCUUACUCACAGCUUGCAUGUGCCUGCUUAGCCUACAUGCCAACAAUUGAUAAAUGGUGAAUAUGAAUUAAUAAAAAUGUAAAGCAAACUUGCAGCUAAAUAUACUGUACAUUAAACAGUCAUCUUGUGCCAAUAGCACACACAGGCAAUGGGCAGCCAAUAGGUAGACAAUGAGUCUAAACUGCCGUUAGGUUAUUAAAUCAAAUGGUCAUUCAGUUAAAAACCCACAAACAGGAAGAAAUGUUAAACAUUCACUGUGGUUCUACAGCCCAAGCUGAGGCAGUCAACAUAUCAGAUGCUAAAUAGGAUCAAGGAAGAUUCCAAUUGUAGACCUGUGUUAUUUUUCCCUACUCAGACAGCCACAUGGGAACAUCAAAUGAGCCGCAAAGGAGUUGAAAAUUAGAUCUUUUGCGGCUGGGUAAAUCCAGUCAGAGAAGAGAGACCCAUUGAUGUGGUGGUAGCUUGAAAGGUUGGGCACUAUAGCUACCGUAAUCCCUCACAAGGACUAUAAUAAGGCAAAAAUUGGCAGGCUGAUAGGUGGGAAUGCUCAAUCAUCUCUAAGUGAAGAUGUUGGUAUAAUGUGAGCAAACCAUGCUUUAUAAAUUAACACUUAUAAGGCUGUAGGCAUAAGGAGUGACACAGAUGUGAGUAUAGCUGCUUGGUUCUCACUUAGUGGUAAUUUAGAGAAGUGGGAGAUCUAUCAGUGAAAAUGCAUGCCACUGUUGUAACACCAAGAGCAGCAAUGUGCAAAAUGUGAUCUUCACAAAGCAAUCAAUCAACAGCAUGGACACAGAUCUAAUGAGAGCUGUCAACUUCAUAUUUAUGUCAGCCUGAAGAGGGUGAGAAAAACUACAAUUUCCUGUUAAAAUGGGUGGGUGGUGUGAGCUGAAGUGCAUGCAGCACUGACUGGAUGAUAAGUUCUUAUGUUUACCGGGAUUAUAGCCUAGGUAACAGAGGUGUGUCCAACCCUCGGCUACUCGAAUGAAUAACCUACCCCAUAUUUUCUGCUCCGGCUGCUCACAGACCUCUCCUUGGUCCCCGACAGUGAAGUCAUGUUGGAGGUUGUUGCUUCUAAAGAAACCCCUCGAAUCACUUGCUAAAACCGGACUGAGGAUUCACACAGGUCGUGCGUGAAAGCAGACCGCUCCCUGUCAACAGAGUCUGCUCUGCGCUGAAUGGGGGUCUCUGCUCAACAGCGCUCCGGACUGGCAUCGCACUCAGCCCUGCCUCUCUCCAUCAGCUCUGCGUCUGAGGCUUGCCAGAUAAAACAAAACAAAGAAAAAAAAAGGGGCGCAAAUUCCGACGCACGGUUUAGGACUCACUGACAAAGUCACGACUCGUUAGAUCGAAUAAGAUCUAGCAUAGACCACAGCUAUAAGGAGUCAGUUCCUCGCUGCUUAUAGUUCAAGUGUUACUAUCCGUACCCUCCUGUUGACUUCCCGAGGCUCCGCACUCUGCUGAAGCAGCAGUGGACUGAGACAGGAGAGAGGCGCACAUCUGGAUGAGGGCGGGGCCUCCCUGCCCCUCAUCGACUACAGGCCAAUACACAUCCAGAGGUUCCAGCUGAGUGGCAGGUGGACUGCUGCCUGUUUGAAGUGAAAAAACUAAACUUUUAUAUGGAGAUUUGUCACAUUACUUUAGGAUGUCUUUAUUGGUAAUGAUAUGUUAAACUCCUAUGCACAAUAAAGGACUCUUCCAUGGCUAUAACAUUGAAGACACUAAGGUCUUGCACUGCACAAUUAGAAUAACACCUGGGGAUAUUUUACACAGAUUGCAGUAUUUCUAGAUGGAAUAUAUCAAUUGAAUUAAGAGAUCCAAGCCUUAGAAUAGAAUAGAGUUUAAAUCACUACAAAAGCUGUUGAUUUUUCAACAUUAACUUUUAAUGGAGGAGACACCUCUGAAUAAACUCACAUAGUGUUUUUGGAACCUUUGUUUUGUAAUAGAGAGCAGUAUACGUGAGUGGUAACACAGUGCCCUCUGCUGUUGUCUUAGAGGUAUUGUGAGAGACAUACAGCAGAGUGAAUAAAGAGCACAAAGCAUCAUUAACUUAAAUUUUAAAAAAUUUAAGUUAAUGGUGCCAAUAUUCAGAUUUCCAUUUUUAUAGAAAGUUUACUGUUGAUUUUUGCAAAUAUCAAAUAUUUUUUGAAUAUCUUUAGAAAGCCACAAAAAUGUUUUUCUCACACAAACUCUAUUACAGAAAUAAGAGGUACAAUUUAGGGUAGCUGUUUGCAUAUUUACACUCACAGGCCUUUUUUCAAUCCAAUCCAAUCUUAUUUAUUAAAAACAACACAGUUGACCAAAGUGCUGUACAAGACAGGCAGUGAAGAGGCCUGCCAAAUGUAUAAAGGCAAUUCGUUCCAGAGUUUGGGAGCCGCAGCUGCAAAUGCACAUUUGACAUAUAGCCUAAUAAAUCACAGGUGUAGAUAAUAAAAUUAAUUAUAACUGUAUUCCACUCAGUGAUUUACCUGCUGCAGUUUCAGGGUUCUGGUAUUGUGCAUGUUGGCUCACUGUCACACUGUCGUGGCUUAUUGGGGCACUUCAAUACAACAGAGCCAUUGUUAAUGUUAUUAUUAACAGCUGUGCUUAUCCUGCUGUGACAAGUCCUAAUGUCCUCUGUGAAAAAGGCCUUUUGGCAAUUCAUUGAAGGAAAGAAUGCAUACAUGAAAAAAAAUGUGUAUUGACAAUUGACAACCAAUGUAUUAUGACCAUUAAUAGCUUAUUACAAUGUAAACAGUAUAACAUAUUACCACACUGAACAAAAGAUGGCACACAGGCCUACUACUUCAGAUUUAUGACAAUGCCUACAGAUGGUUUCUAAGAACUCAGACAUGUAGGUGUUGGAGUAUUUAUACUUGAAUUUCAGAUCAAUAUACUGUUUUGUUUUUUUUGUUUUUCUGUAAUAAAGUAACCCUCUUCUAGUUAUCAGUA